UACAGAGGGUGCAAGCGUUGUUCGGAAUUAUUGGGCGUAAAGCGCGUGUAGGCGGCUUUGCAAGUCGGGUGUGAAAGCCCUCGGCUCAACCGAGGAAGUGCGCCCGAAACUGCAGAGCUUGAGUACCGGAGAGGAUGGCGGAAUUCCCCAAGUAGAGGUGAAAUUCGUAGAUAUGGGGAGGAACACCGGUGGCGAAGGCGGCCAUCUGGACGGAUACUGACGCUGAGACGCGAAAGCGUGGGGAGCGAACGGG
RNAcentral lists this ribosomal RNA (253 nucleotides) under uncultured bacterium. Its description in RNAcentral is "partial 16S ribosomal RNA". It matches the Rfam family "Bacterial small subunit ribosomal RNA", at positions 524 to 776 of the family's 1533-position model. The record is from RNAcentral.